Molecule: ribosomal RNA, 467 nt
Filed under: uncultured bacterium
Lineage: Bacteria
Description: partial 16S ribosomal RNA
Rfam family: Bacterial small subunit ribosomal RNA
Source: RNAcentral
GACGAACGCUGGCGGCGUGCUUAACACAUGCAAGUCGAACGGAAAGGCUCCAGCUUGCUGGAGUACUCGAGUGGCGAACGGGUGAGUAACACGGGGGUAAUCUGCCCUGCACUCUGGGAUAAGCCUGGGAAACUGGGUCUAAUACUGGAUAUGACCUUUCUCCUUAUGGGGUUUGGUGGAAAGUUUUUCGGUGUAGGAUGAGCCCGCGGCCUAUCAGCUUGUUGGUGGGGUGAUGGCCUACCAAGGCGACGACGGGUAGCCGGCCUGAGAGGGUGAUCGGCCACAUUGGGACUGAGAUACGGCCCAGACUCCUACGGGAGGCAGCAGUGGGGAAUAUUGCACAAUGGGCGGAAGCCUGAUGCAGCGACGCCGCGUGAGGGAUGACGGCCUUCGGGUUGUAAACCUCUUUCAGCAGGAACGAAGCGUAAGUGACGGUACCUGCAGAAGAAGCACCGGCUAACUAUGUG